This 8677-nucleotide long non-coding RNA is filed under the name Salmo salar (Atlantic salmon). RNAcentral describes it as "lncRNA (ENSSSAG00000084301.1)". The record is from RNAcentral. Lineage: Eukaryota; Metazoa; Chordata; Actinopteri; Salmoniformes; Salmonidae.
UUGUGUUGUGGGGUAGAAAGCAUUUCAAAGGCAGGGCCCGACUCAGGGUUACAGUGCUGAAAACCCUGUGUGUUUGUUUUGUGUGGAGUGCCAAGCCAGGCAUCCACAGUCUACCAUCUUCGGGGUGAAAUGGUGAAGACGAGUUCCAGGUAGUGCGAAUAGCCCCGGCUUUAAUUUUUCUACUUUCUCUCUCUAGGCGGCCCUUGUGUCAUGCUCAAUCCGCCACAGAAGAAGUGGGAGUGGAGCAUGGUUCUCUUAUUCUGCUUGGUAUGAUGAGGAGCUUUCACUGAAGACUGGAGUUCCCCGGUUGUUUUUCCUUCAGUCGCCAGGCAAUGGAAUACCUCUCAGAAGGGGUAGCGAGCAAAGGACCAGCGUUCAGCGAGGAGCAUGAGCGGCAGUACGCUGAAGUAGGAGCACUAGCUCUUGUGAAAAAUCUGCGGACUAGGGGGCUAGUAAAGAGGGAGAGAUGCCCAGAGAGCAUACAGCUGUUUCGGUCGAGCGAGAGCGAGUUCUCCGGCGGCUGAAGAGUGGUUCUUGAAUCGGACAGAUGAUGUUCCAUCCUCUUUUCUGCCAAUCACCCAAAGAUGAGGACAACACCCAAACUGGCACGAUAACAGCACUGUAUAAGAAGAGGACCCAAUGGUUCCAAAAGGCCUGGUGUUGCUCUUCCGCCGUCCGCCCAGAGUCUGCCGCAGCUAUUUGGACAGCAACAGGUGAAAAGGUGAGAGGAGGUUGCUGAAAUCCAUAUGACCAAGACACACCUGUCUGUCCAGGAGACGGAUACCUCACCAGAUAUGUUUUCCCUGCCAUAGUUGUGAUAAUUGGAUUUUCUGGACACCUGUAUGAGUGCAGUAUAUCCAGCGGAUUAUAACCAGGGAAAGGGUGUCUUUCUGACAUUCUUGAUGCACAUCCAAUGAUGAGUGGGUGAUGGAGGUCCCUCUGCUGUAACCCUGACCUCCAGAGCAUAAUGACCGCUCCAAAGACAGGACCUAAGGAAAGAUGAGUCAAAUGAAACCCAUCUAGACACCACUGCUUCUGCUGCAAACAUGAUGGCAUGAUCUGUCUCUGUGAAGACAAAAACUAUGUACCUGUUGUGCAAUUCUCAGAUCAUAUGGUUCAUUUUGAAACGGUUAAACUGAAACAGUGAAACGUUUUACCAAUAGAGGUUACGCUGCUUAUGAUAUGAACUGUAUCGUCCGUUGAUGUAUUAUAUUUCAUGAUGUUACAUAUCUUCAAUAAAUGUAUUGGUGUAUUUGGUAGAAAUAUUGAGCAUUACAAUAUUUGGAAACUGGGGUAGGGAGUUCACAACCAGAGCUGGGGAAGGUAAUUGCAGGUUUUUGUUCCAGCCCUCCAGGACAGAGAAUACCCCCCUACACACACCAUUUGCCGCUGUAGGUUUAGAGAUCUACAGAUGGCCUCUGUAAAUAUCUGAAUAAGGCUAGCCUCUACCGUGUAAAUGAUAACACCAUUUCUGGUCAUAAUUUAUCUAAAUUCAGGACAUUGUGGGGUAACUCUAUCCUCCAGUAUGGUGUGUGUUAUCGUAUAUUGUUCAUGUUGUAUCACUGCAACCCUCAGGUGAUGAAACGGUCUGCCCUCUCUCGCUCUCCUUUUUCUCCAAGCUCCCAGGACAGCUUUCAGCCAUGGAUAUUCAUCCCCUUUAUUUAAAACACACACGUUCCACUGCCUACCGGUCAUUCAUCACUGCCAACUAGAGUGGGUAUGUGUGGCCAUUUAGGCUUAUUGAUUAGCCAUAUCAUUCACAGAUAUCUCUCUCAAGUAUUUACUGUGUACAUCAGCAAACAGGAACCACACAGUAAGUGGAUAUACCUCCUCACUCACACUUGAAUAUCCUCUGAGAAGAACCCAAGCAGGAAGCGUUCUCUCUGGGGGUGUCAAGUCAAGCCCAGGAGAUGGUCAGCAUCAUGACACUAAGGAAGACCCUUGAGAACCAAUCGAAGGCCCAUCUGUGUUCAGCACAGAGUGAAUCCUGUGUUUCCAGGUUUAAACUGAACGUUAUUAAAACAAGUGGGCCGAAAGGUCAGGAGAGAGCAGCCCACAAAAACAAACAAUUCAUUUGGCAUGGAGGUGUAAUGGGAUGAGAUGUGGGCUGGGGCCGGGCCUAUUGUUCUGCUGGAAUUAACCGUGGCAGGUCAUGUGUCACUGGGCACUGACCCCGGCCCCAUUCAGGAGCCCAAACUCUGCAUUAGCCACGGCCCAAAGAGAGGUCAAACAUAGUCACAAACCAGGCACACACACAGCCAGUUCUGACCAGGGCAGCACUUACAAAACAAAGAGGGGUAUUACCAUGCGGUGGUUGUGACACUGGCGGCAUCAAAGCCUUUGUGACUCAUCCGUUGGCCUGAAUCUGUUGGACUGGUGCAUAUUGGAGACAUUAAGCAUGAACGACAUACACCUAAAUACUCCUAUUUCAUCUGUGCAAAGUGUGUGAGCCGGAGGUGACUCCACUCCCCAUUCCCACAUCCAUACCUGGCUGAGGUGGAGAGUUGGAAUGAGAGUACAGAGUACAGAGUGAGUCAGAGGAGUGGGUUUGGUUCCUGUGGGGCCUGCUUGGGCAUACACUCAGACCACCCAUCAGGAUUGCUUUGUGCGGUCUAGUCUGCAUGCUUCUUUUCCUCUCUGCAGCAUGUCAGUCUCCUUGCAUGUGAAGCCAAUCGCUCGGCUGUUGUAGGCGUUUACAUUUCCACCUGACAGAUGCCUGGUGGAACAGUGGCAUGUUGUAAAAACAUCUGAUCCUUUAGCUGCAGGCUACAGAUACUGCUAAUUGAAAAAUGACCUCCCUCGAGUCAUGAACGCCUAUUACAAUAUUAUUGUUGCACAGUGCAAUCACAUUCUAUAAUUUCUCAAGACUUGGCUGCUUUGCCUCGUUUCACUGACAUUCCUCCUCUGUCCACUCGAGCGUAUAAUCACAACAUAUUUAUUGAUUAGAGGACAAACAGUAGCUAGCUCAACUGGACGGUAUCCUUUGUUUUAUUCCUAUUCAGCAUGGUGGCAGCAGUACUUCUCCCAGGUAGCUAGAUGACAGCCAGCCACAGCUAAAGCAGGCCUUUUCUCCAGCAUGGCUCUGCUGUCUCUGCCCUAAUUGAUUGGAAGGGGAAAGGCAGAACAGCUGCCCCAAAGCGCACAGCCAGAAUUAAAACUUCAAUCCCACUGCCGAACACUCAAUUUCAUCCAUGAUCCAGCAUUAUACAAAUGAGUUGAGAACAGACAGACAGGUGUAUGGUUCCCCAGUAGGGUCCCUGGGCACACUGGCCUCAGAACCACAAACUGCUCCCCUCUCUCUCCCAGCAGCACCAGGUCCUCUGUGCUCCCUAUGUGCUCCCUCUGUGCUCCCUACCUUCCUCCAGACAGCCUCCAGCCAAAACUACAACAGGCCAAUUCUAGUUUUUAGGGGAUCAAUUCACAGCACUUUUCAUUUAGGUAAGAAUCAACAAGAGGGUGUAACACUUAAAUCAUCAUCAGCCCAGUAGCUUUGCCUGCCAUUUCUGGGCCCUCUUCCACACACAUACAUUAACCAGAAUAUGCUAUAAAAUGUGUAGAAAUACUAGCCCACCAGUAAGCAGUAAGAACACGCAUAACUUUCACAGAGGACAACAAAGGAGAUGGAUAUGCAAAAGCUCAGAAUAUGUUAGAAAGUCACUGGGAUAGUUAUAGUUUUACACGACCAGUUUUAAAUUACAACUGUUUUUAAAGGUGAUAUUAGAUACAACAGAUACAUUAAGAGUGAAUUGUGUCAAAAUAACACAAAGUAACUUAUGUUUUUGACUGCUCUGGGCCUUUAAAAAUUUAUUGUCCUGUGUUUUAUAUAUAUUUCCACACUGAGGUUGGAAUAAUAGUGUGAAAUUGUGACAAUUAUGAUAAUGCCCUUUUAGUGUAAGCUGUUUGAAAAGACUGCCUGAAAUUGAAUCAUGUUUUGGUGGGAUGGCAUUUUGGCCUGCCUGCUAACAUCACCAGGCGGUAAAUUAGUUAAUAGACCAAUAAGAAAGAGAGUUCCAAACCUCUCUGCCAAACCUCUCUCUCUCUCCCACCCAGACCACUCCCAGACAGUCCUAACAAAAUUCUUGCUUGAGAAAUUUCUCUUUGCGAAGAAGCCAUUUUUGUUUAUUUUUGACCAUUUUAAUUUAAAACAAAUCACAGUAAGGUACUUAAUUGUUACCCAGGAAGGAUUUGAUAUUGAGAUAAAAAUGGCUGAAGUGGACCUUUAAGAAUCAUAACACAAUUCAGAAAUACAUUUGUAAAAAUCAACACAUUAUUGCAUCAACAUAAGCUAGACAGUGUACUGUACAGUUCAGCCAGUAGUCCAUAAAGAAGCAAUAUGUUUGCAUAAUAGUGACAUUUCUUCUGACUGUAUUAAGGAAUCUUGAUAGUUGCACAUGUGGCCUUUUCAGUGGCGAGAUGACUGGACACAUUCUUCUGAGUGCGGUGGGUCCAUGCAGCGGGCAGCCAGGCAAGGGUGAACAGAGUAGGAUCUUCACUACUAGGGCCAACACAGGCCGACUGUGUUCUCUUUUUGACUGGACGAUUGUCCUGCAUGGGACACAAGGAUCAGCCAAUCACUUAGAACCACUUUUUUUGUUCAGCUGCAACAACAAACACCAUCUUUUGACUUACUGGUUUGUACUGGUUAUAGUACAGUUGUCCAGAGGGGUUGAAACCUUUUGUGUAAGGAUUGGGAUACACACAAUGGUUUCUCAACAUAACAAGAAAACGUCUGAGUUAUUAAAUAUUGUAUCAUUGUUCCCACUUGAAAACCUGAUCAUGUACGGCAAAUGCUUUACCUAAUGAAACAUUUGUUAACAUUCUUAAAUGGACUCAUUAAAAUGUGUGAGUGUAAUCAUGCAUAAACAAAAGAAGAAGUGAAAGCUUCCCUCCACAGUUGUCCUCAUGUUGACAUAGAACUGAGUGCUCGGCGAAAUCGGCUUGUCAGGGGCCUUGUGUAGCGUGUGACAAGAAUCUUUGUAGUCAACAGAUCAUACUCAGACCCCAGCGCUACUUGCUUUCUGGUGCUGCAUACAAACUGAAUGAAUGGGAACCGGCUAGUCCCUUACUCCAAACAUUCAUCACAACUGUGCCAAACUGGGCCCAGGAUACAGAGCUCUGAAAUACAUCUUUGUCCCAAUGUUUUACAUUUCAAAAUUCACAAAAGUCAAUAAAACAAAGAUGGCCAUCCAUCUCAUAGGAGCCUGAGAUAACCUAUAAAGUCAUCACAACAACAUUUACCAACACCUAUUGUACUGUUGAAUAAACAUAAACCAUAAUCAUAUUCAAGCAAUAUGUAUUAUAUCAUACACUACACAAAAAUAGAUUAUGGCUACAUUGCAAACCCAGUAAAAAGCAUAUAAAAGGAUUCAUGUAUACAUUUCACUAAAUUAUGCUACAAAUGUAUUUUUAUCCUUAUUCUGAGUGGUUGACUAUUUAAUUUAAAAAAAUCAUAUUUGACUAUGAUCCUGCUUUUAUUGUGUUUAGUAAAGUUGAGUUGUUCACAGUGAUUCAUAAAAACAGUUUUAUAAAUAGAGAAGAGUAUCUGAGAGGGAAGUUGACUAAUUCAAUCUAGUAAUUAAUGGUGAUUUUUAAUCACCAUGGGUUUGGUGAUUAAUAGAGUGAUUGGUACCGUACAGCAGUAUCAGGGGUUCACUUCAAACGUGCUCGUCUACCAGAUCACUACAUGUCUGGGGACACCAACCUGUUCCAACACAGAACAACCAUGUCUUCACUGGACAACCUCUCUGCCUUUUCCUCUUAUAAUAUAUACUGUAUAUUCCUAAUACUGUGUUGCACCCCCCCAUUUUGCCCUCAGAACAGCCUCAAUUUGUCAGGACAUGGACUCUACAAGUUGUCAAAAGCGUUCCUCAUGGAUGCUGGCCCAUGUUGACGCUAAUGCUUCCCACGGUUGUGUCAAGUUGUCUAGAUGUCCUUUGGGUGGUGGACCAUUCUUGAUACACACGGGAAACUGUUGAGCGUGAAAAACCCAGCAGCGUUGCAGUUCUUGACACAAACCGGUGCGCCUGGCACCUACUGUACUAUCAUACCCCAUUCAAAGGCACUUAAAAAUGUUGUCUUGCCCAUUCACCCUCUGAAUGGCACACAUGCACCAUCCAUGUCUCAGUUGUCUUAAGGCUUAAAAAUCCUUCUUAAACCUGUCUCCUCCCCUUCAUCUACACUGAUGGAAGUGGAUUUAACAAGUGACAUCAAUAAGGGAUCAAAGCUUUCACCUGGUCAGUCUAUGUCAUGGAAAGAGCAGGUGUUGUUAAUGUUUUGUACUCAGUGUAUAUCGCUCUCCAUCUCUCUGCCACACAAUCAGAGAUGAUUUCCCAGUUGAGACUGGGCCUUUGAAAGUGAUGACUAAAGAGAACUGGAGCCUGCCAGGCCGUGUUUUUGGAUACUUGGGGACUGGGUUCUAGCGCGGGCCAAGCCAAGAUUAUAAAGAAUGAGCACAGGGGAGAAAAUUAAAUGGCACAUGGCAUAAGGCCACACAAGCACCUCGGCCCUCUGCUCAUCCCAUUCCCAGCAAUCUAUGAUGGAAAUGGAGGGAGAGUUUUUUUUCUUCUCUCACGCCACUUGUGUCCAAGCUGCUCUUGGAAUAAUAUUUAAAUAACCAUAAUAUUUAAAUGAAAUUCUGCUUCUUGUAUUUUUUCUAGAGUUCUAAUUUUUUAGAAAGCUUAUACACGGUCACUAUUUUUAUAGCCAUCUGUGUUAAUCAGGGUAGGCUCUAAUUAUCACCGACCGAAAAAACAACAGACCAUCAAAUAUUAUGGUAAGUCAAACCUUCUUUUUUUUUUUAUGUCAUCCAUUAUAUUUUUGGGACCUAAUAAUGUUCGAUUGGUUGUCCUUUACGAUUGACUUUUUAAAAUAAAGCUUUGGUUAGCAAGCGUUUAAGCAUGAAGAACAAGACCCUCUUGAAUUGAAUGAAGCCGGGAGGGAUUAAAUACAUUUCCUGUUCCUAAUCUGGAAAUUAGCCCUCGAAUGCCAGUGGGAAAAGACAGGCACUUUUCUUGGGGAUUUUUAACCAUUUGAAGGAAACAAUGUGACCGAGACAUGGAACCCGGAACCCAGAGGCCUGGUUGGUUGGGGCUGGGGUUGGGAACAGAACAGAGCAGACAAGGACAGACCAGGACAGAACUUUCAGGUCCAUUAGAGUGGAAUGUGGCUGGGGGUUGGUAUGAGAUAAAACAUGCAGGGGAAAGAGCCUGCCAUCCUUCCCCCCUCAUUGAGCGACCGCGUCCUUGAGGUCCCAUUCAUGGAAUCCCACUAAUGAGAGUGGAAAUGUCAGCUAUGAUACACUCAGAGGAUAGAAGGGAAACAGAGCGCCACACAAAGCUCUUUUAUGAGGCCUGCCUUCUAUUUCCUCUGCACUUGUUUUCCAACUCUUUUAUAACUUGAUUAGUGGGCCCUUUCACACAUUCUCACAUGCAGAAAGAGAGCUAUUUGCUUAUAGAUUAUUUUUAGUAAAGCACAGACUGCCCUCAUUGUAUUGGGUGGUGGUAAUGGUGGUAGUGGUGGUGAUGGUGGUGUAGGGGUUGUAUGGUUAGGGGAUUGGAAUUGAUUGCCUAUCUGAAUGGUGUCUUCCAGUUGGGAAAACACAGACUCUAUAAUGCAUGCUUGGCUGGUCUGUGACAGUGGUGCUUCUACUUUCUUAACAGAGGACCACUGAUGGGGGAGGGCACAGCAAUGACAAUAAUUAUACUGAGAGAGCACAGUUAGUUGAAAGCUAAAAGUGACAUGAAGCUGGUGUGGCUGUUGGGCACACAUGAUGAGCAAGAGCCCACUGGUCUUCAUGUUGUCAUCUCCACUGAAGCAGCUGACCUUGUAGUGCCAAAGAGUAAGAGUAAUGUGUUCCUUGAACUGAUCUGAGAGCCAAAGGACUGGCUGUACACAUGGCAAAGUAGGUUACAUAGUUAAUUAAGAAAACUUGGCUCUAAAUCCGCUAAGUCAAGUUACCCCCCAUAGAGACAGUGGAAAUAACAUUGGGAGAUAGGAAAUCACUAAAUCCUGUGUAAAAUUAUAAAAAGAUGGACCUGUCAAAAACGGAGUCUGGCGCCUACGAGAAUGGCAUUAGAUAAAUUAACCUCCACACGACUCCAGAAGGGGAUGUGUGGUUAGGACAGCCAGCUCUACAUACUGUACAGAGAGAGUUAGAGAGAGAGAGGGGGGGGGGGUAAGAGAGAGAGAGGGGGGUAAGAGAGAGAGAGGGGGGGAGUAAGAGAGUGAGAGAGAGAGAGUGAGACACAGAGAGAGAUUUCCUGGGUUAGCAGGUAAUAGAAUAUCCUUGCAAGGUUUCUGGAUUACAAAGAGAGAGAUGAUCUCAGGUGUGAGGCCCCUUCUCCAUGAAUCUGAUCAAUCAUACUCAGACAGUUCCCCCAGGACAGAAUCGUAAGGAUAUUACACCUGUCUCAUUACCACACUCUUCAACACAGUCUAACCGUCAGGCUGCCUGGGAGUAAAGAGAGAGAGAGAGACAGUGUCAUCUCCACUUUUAUCCAUUUCACUGCCACUGUUUUCUCACAGAAAUAAAUCUACAAUUAUUACUAUCAUUACUGUGUUUUUGCUCCAUUUUAAAUGACUAAUAAUUGUACUUUUCAGAAGUGAUGGUGAACCAUGAGCGGUGCCAAAAACCAUGGUCUAUAAUUUAUAACAUGUCAAUAAAUAAUUCACAACAUAA